Non-coding RNA from Camelina sativa (false flax), 348 nucleotides. The record is from RefSeq and is a predicted model, not a curated record. Lineage: Eukaryota; Viridiplantae; Streptophyta; Magnoliopsida; Brassicales; Brassicaceae.
GCCUUGCAAGAUCUACAGCUUAACACCAAAGGAUGCCCCUUAAACUCUAUACGCAUGAAGUAUAGACAAGACAAGUACAAAUCGGUGGCGGUAUUCAGUUCUGCGAAGCUACCUGAGAAGCUAUUCAUCUCCUAACAUAAGAGAUAGCUGUAACAACAAACAACAUUUGUGAUCGUCCCGAGUCAAAUAAAAAAACAGUGCCUUUCUUUCCACGGUCUUAUCAUACCAAGUAACCGGACUACCUACUAGUUAGAGUUCGGUUAUCUUCCGGUUUAGUUUUAGACCUGUUUGGUUCUUCCAAACCUGAUUUGUACUGAUCGGUAGGAAACACGAGUUUUUUCUUUUAAA